UGGGGAAUAUUGGGCAAUGGGCGCAAGCCUGACCCAGCAACGCCGCGUGAAGGAAGAAGGCUUUCGGGUUGUAAACUUCUUUUAAGUGGGAAGAGUAGAAGACGGUACCACUUGAAUAAGCCACGGCUAACUACGUGCCAGCAGCCGCGGUAAUACGUAGGUGGCAAGCGUUGUCCGGAUUUACUGGGUGUAAAGGGCGUGCAGCCGGGCAUGCAAGUCAGAUGUGAAAUCUCAGGGCUUAACCCUGAAACUGCAUUUGAAACUGUAUGUCUUGAGUGCCGGAGAGGUAAUCGGAAUUCCUUGUGUAGCGGUGAAAUGCGUAGAUAUAAGGAAGAACACCAGUGGCGAAGGCGGAUUACUGGACGGUAACUGACGGUGAGGCGCGAAAGCGUGGGGAGCGAACAGGAUUAGAUACCCUGGUAGUCCACGCUGUAAACGAUGGAUACUAGGUGUGCGGGGACUGACCCCCUGCGUGCCGCAGUUAACACAAUAAGUAUCCCACCUGGGGAGUACGAUCGCAAGGUUGAAACUCAAAGGAAUUGACGGGGGCCCGCACAAGCGGUGGAUUAUGUGGUUUAAUUCGAAGCAACGCGAAGAACCUUACCAGGUCUUGACAUCCUGCUAACGAAGUAGAGAUACAUUAGGUGCCCUUCGGGGAAAGCAGAGACAGGUGGUGCAUGGUUGUCGUCAGCUCGUGUCGUGAGAUGUUGGGUUAAGUCCCGCAACGAGCGCAACCCCUAUUGUUAGUUGCUACGCAAGAGCACUCUAGCGAGACUGCCGUUGACAAAACGGAGGAAGGUGGGGACGACGUCAAAUCAUCAUGCCCCUUAUGACCUGGGCUACACACGUAAUACAAUGGCGGUCAACAAAGGGAUGCAAAGCCGCGAGGCAGAGCGAACCCCAAAAAGCCGUCCCAGUUCGGAUCGCAGGCUGCAACCCGCCUGCGUGAAGUCGGAAUCGCUAGUAAUCGUGGGUCAGCAUACCACGGUGAAUACGUUCCC
Molecule: ribosomal RNA, 1001 nt
Filed under: uncultured bacterium
Lineage: Bacteria
Description: bacterial SSU rRNA
Rfam family: Bacterial small subunit ribosomal RNA
Source: RNAcentral